This 628-nucleotide ribosomal RNA is filed under the name Yarrowia phangngaensis. RNAcentral's name for it is "eukaryotic LSU rRNA". It matches the Rfam family "Eukaryotic large subunit ribosomal RNA", at positions 1 to 669 of the family's 3401-position model. The record is from RNAcentral. Lineage: Eukaryota; Fungi; Ascomycota; Dipodascomycetes; Dipodascales.
AAAGCGAGCACCUUUCUCACUCCUUCGCGGGUCAAGACGACGACCUGAGAUCACUAUAGCAACAUCGUAGGUAUAACGUCGGGCUUACCCCAAAAAGCGGAGGAAAAGAAACCAACAGGGAUUGCCUCAGUAACGGCGAGUGAAGCGGCAAAAGCUCAAAUUUGAAACCUUCGGGAUUGUAAUUUGAAGACCUGGCAUUGAGAAAAGCUAACCCAAGUUACUUGGAAUAGUACGUCAUAGAGGGUGACAACCCCGUCUGGCUAACCGUUUCUCGUGUAUUGCCUUGUCAAAGAGUCGAGUUGUUUGGGAAUGCAGCUCAAAGUGGGUGGUAAACUCCAUCUAAAGCUAAAUACUGGUGAGAGACCGAUAGCGAACAAGUACUGUGAAGGAAAGGUGAAAAGAACUUUGAAAAGAGAGUGAAAUAGUAUGUGAAAUUGUUGAUAGGGAAGGGAAUGCUUGUAGAAUGGGCGAGGUUUCAACUAUCUUUCGAGAUGGUGUACUGCCAACCCCGGGUUAUUGUUAGCGAUUGUUGAGGGAUAAACGAAUUACUUCGGUAAUCCUCCUACCUCAACUCCUGCCAUCAACAACGUAAUACAAGUACUCCACCCGUCUUGAAAACCCGGAAACA